GGACUACUGGGGUUUCUAAUCCCGUUCGCUCCCCAUGCCGUCGUGGCUGAGCGUCAGUUGCGAGCCAGGGCGCCGCCUUCGCCUCUGGGGUUCCUCCGGAUCUCUACGCAUUUCACCACUACACCCGGAAUUCCACGCCCCUCUCUCGCACUCUAGAGCCACAGUCUGGCAUAACCUUGUCACGUUAAGCGCGACACUUUUAUACACCACUUGUGACCCCGCCUGCACACCCUUUACGCCCAGUAAAUCCGGAUAACGCUUGCCACCUACGUUUUACCGCGGCUGCUGGCAC
This 292-nucleotide ribosomal RNA is filed under the name uncultured bacterium. RNAcentral describes it as "partial 16S ribosomal RNA". The record is from RNAcentral.